RNAcentral lists this ribosomal RNA (402 nucleotides) under bacterium. RNAcentral's name for it is "partial 16S ribosomal RNA". It matches the Rfam family "Bacterial small subunit ribosomal RNA", at positions 355 to 776 of the family's 1533-position model. The record is from RNAcentral.
UGGGGAAUUUUGCACAAUGGGGGAAACCCUGAUGCAGCGACGCCGCGUGAUUUAGAAGGCCUUCGGGUUGUAAAAAUCUUUGCUAUGGGAAGAAAAUGACAGUACCAUAGGAAUAAGGACCGGCUAAUUACGUGCCAGCAGCCGCGGUAAUACGUAAGGUCCGAGCGUUGUCCGGAAUCAUUGGGCGUAAAGGGUACGUAGGCGGGUAAGCAAGUUAGAAGUGAAAUCCUAUAGCUCAACUAUAGUAAGCUUUUAAAACUGCUCAUCUUGAGGUAUGGAAGGGAAAGUGGAAUUCCUAGUGUAGCGGUGAAAUGCGCAGAUAUUAGGAGGAAUACCGGUGGCGAAGGCGACUUUCUGGCCAUAACCUGACGCUGAGGUACGAAAGCGUGGGUAGCAAACAGG